This 230-nucleotide ribosomal RNA is filed under the name uncultured bacterium. RNAcentral describes it as "partial 16S ribosomal RNA". It matches the Rfam family "Bacterial small subunit ribosomal RNA", at positions 564 to 791 of the family's 1533-position model. The record is from RNAcentral.
AGCGUGCGCAGGCGGUAAUGUAAGAACAGAUGUGAAAUACCCCGGGCUCAACCUGGGAACUGCAUUUGUGACUGCAUUGCUGGAGUGCGGCAGAGGGGGAUGGAAUUCCGCGUGUAGCAGUGAAAUGCGUAGAUAUGCGGAGGAACACCGAUGGCGAAGGCAAUCCCCUGGGCCUGCACUGACGCUCAUGCACGAAAGCGUGGGGAGCAAACAGGAUUAGAUACCCCUGU